This is a small nucleolar RNA of Ornithorhynchus anatinus (platypus), 138 nucleotides long. NCBI's taxonomy places the organism in Eukaryota, Metazoa, Chordata, Mammalia, Monotremata, Ornithorhynchidae. The record is from RefSeq and is a predicted model, not a curated record.
CCCCUCUCAGAGUCACACUUGGAGAGUUUCCAGGACUUUACCAGUCUCGACUAUGGGAGGGAGAGUCAAGCAGAGGCAUACCCAUUUCAUUCCUAGCUUGGGCAGUGGCUAGCAAGUGGAAAGCAAUCUGCUAUAAGU